Syngnathus typhle (broad-nosed pipefish) is the source of this 1746-nucleotide long non-coding RNA. RefSeq lists it as uncharacterized. The record is from RefSeq and is a predicted model, not a curated record. NCBI's taxonomy places the organism in Eukaryota, Metazoa, Chordata, Actinopteri, Syngnathiformes, Syngnathidae. The transcript has 3 exons.
CUGUAGGAUUGCUAAUUUGCCAUUUCCGGUCCGGUGCUGUCCUGUCGUCUGUCUGUGUGUGUGUGUGUGUGUGUGUGUGUGUGCGUAGAAAACUGUUAGCAUUUCAUAGUAGCAGAUCGAGUUACUUGUUGCGGUUCUGUCUGGUAGUAGUAUGCCAAACUUGUUUCAUGAGUGAUAACGAGCAUAACGAUUAAGUCGUUCCCGAAGCUUACUUGGUAGCUUGGCCUCUUGCACAAUAACAGCGUCAAAUGGCAACCGAGAUACGGAAAGUUUUAGGAGCGGGACUUGCUGACCCAGUGGUACUUAUCCACGCGGGGCCCGGUGAAGGUGAACAAGGUCCGGUCGGAAUAGAAACCUUUGGAGCCCGCCAGCUGCUGCGGUGAGAGAGGAGGAAGUGGGACGAGAGGCGGGAAGGCGUCCCCGCCCAACGGCUUCCUCCUAGGGUAGGUGAGCCACGUCCGGGGGGCGCCGGGAGCAAACUCGCUGAACUGAGAGAGGAAGAAGUAGGCAAAAAGACCCAAAUUCAUAUUCCAGGAUUUCUUCCAGGCUGGAAAGUCCCAAGACGCUAUUGGGGUUGUUAACAGUCGGGAUGCUUUUGGCUUCGGCAAAGAGAGCAGAGGGGCUGCGGCGGCGCUCUUCUUCUUCCUCCUCCUCCUCCUCCUCCUCCUCCCCGCCGCCACCAUUACCGUCCUCAUCCGAAGAACUCUCCGAGGGCACUUCCAGGCUGGCGCGUUCCACCGCGUCGUGGACUCGCCGGGAAAACUGGCCACGGGCGUGUCGACUGCCGUCCACAACCGAGAUGGAGAAGGGGGCGCUGUGUUCGCCGUACCUGCCACAGAUGUCUCAGGUUAAAAGCAGGUCACAAACAAACAAUUUCAGGCAGAGCUUAGUCAAUCAAUUAUCAAGCCAUCAGUCAUCACAAACCUCAGGCUCGGUGGAUGCGCAACGGCCUACCUGCACGACACCUCGCCGGGGUCGACCCACACGGUGAGCUCCCGAGGUAGGCCCAGGUCCUCGUAGCGCACGCCGCUUCUCGCGCACACCUUCUGAAGCACUGGAUCCUGUCGUUGUAACCAGUUCAUCCGCAGGCACCUGCAAAACAAACAGGCUUGAGACAAAUCCCUUUGAAAUGACAUCUCCAAGCCUACCUGUAGGCCUGGCCCUUGGCGGGCACGUCCGGGUGCCAGUGGUUCUUGUAGCUCUCAAACAAGGCCGACGUGAGCGCGGCGGCAAAGCGCUCGCGGCCGUCCUCGUCCAGGCAUCCGUAGCGCUUGACCAGGCGGCCCACGAAGAACACGGUGGCGGCAAUUUCCUCCUUCAUAGCGUCGAGCGUGGUUGCAAAUCAAAGCACCUGAAAGGACAAGACUGACUCUCGGCUAAAACCAGAUAAAAACGUGUAGGGUGCUCCUACUAGUCAAGUAAAAGUCAAGGAGAAACGGCAAGCAAACAUAUUUGCUGUUGGAGCUCCGCACAAACGGCAACUUUCUUGCCCCGAGUUAAGAAGUCAACUGCUGUCCACAGCGGGGACACCUGUUGACGCCUCGCUUAAUUGGAGGAGGCGGAGAAAAUCAUCCCAUUGGUUCAGAGCAAAUGGAACAUUUCCAAUUCGACAAUACCAAUGACAAAGAAAAAAUAUAUACCACUGAAUCCUUUUAAUUAUUAUUUGGAGUGUACAGUACGUGUACAUAGAUUGAAGCCAUUAAAUGACUCACAACAGAUGAGAAACAACAAACCCCCAUUCAAAAC